Molecule: long non-coding RNA, 566 nt
Filed under: Homo sapiens (human)
Lineage: Eukaryota; Metazoa; Chordata; Mammalia; Primates; Hominidae
Description: non-protein coding lnc-MAGEL2-1:1
Source: RNAcentral
AGUGAUAGUCAGGCAUCAAGGGUGUCCUGAUUGGUGAAUUCUUUGGCUAAGAGGAAUCAAGAGGAAAGGAAUAUGGCAAAAGGUCCAGGCAAAUAGGCUGAGGUACUUAAUAGGAGAACCAGGAGUCAUGUAAGAAGGGAGAGGCAAUGUAAAAGUAUAGGAGGCUGAGGCACACUCUGAAGCAGUGGACUAAAAUCACUGAGCUGGCAGCCUAUAGAUAAAAGCCCCAUGGCUCCUACAUUCUGUGGGAGCUUAUUCAAGUCCAUCUUUGCUCCACUUGGCUGAAUCAUCCAUAUUUAAAGGCUGUACUUGCAUCUCCAGCAGCUACAUUCAGCUGGUCGACCUGCUCCUAGUGAACAUGAUAAUCACCAUAAUCCUAGGGGGAAAGAUAUGCAGAAUAGACAAGAAAACAGAAGCACUGCCUCAACAGCCCCUGAAAGCAGUAAGAGUGUCAACACAGGGAAAACAGGCAAUAGCAGACGACAGAACCUCAGCAGACUAGACCACAUGCCACAGCACGAUGCUACAGAAUCAAAUUGAAAUAUUCUUCCAGCUCAUAAUGAAGC